This 242-nucleotide ribosomal RNA is filed under the name uncultured bacterium. RNAcentral's name for it is "partial 16S ribosomal RNA". It matches the Rfam family "Bacterial small subunit ribosomal RNA", at positions 524 to 760 of the family's 1533-position model. The record is from RNAcentral.
GACGAACCGUGCGAACGUUGUUCGGAAUCACUGGGCUUAAAGGGCGCGUAGGCGGGCUGACAAGUCUGGGGUGAAAUCCCACGGCUCAACCGUGGAACUGCCUUAGAUACUGUCGGCCUCGAGGAAGGUGAGGGGCAGUGCGGGAACUGUAGGUGGAGCGGUGAAAAUGCGUUGAUAUCUACAGGAACUCCGGUGGCGGAAAGCGGCGUGCUGGACCUUUUCUGACGCUGAGGCGCGGAAAG